Molecule: ribosomal RNA, 254 nt
Filed under: uncultured bacterium
Lineage: Bacteria
Description: partial 16S ribosomal RNA
Rfam family: Bacterial small subunit ribosomal RNA
Source: RNAcentral
UACGUAGGGGGCAAGCGUUGUCCGGAAUCAUUGGGCGUAAAGAGCGCGUAGGCGGCCCUGUAAGUCCGCUGUGAAAGUCAAGGGCUCAACCCUUGGAUGCCGGUUGGAUACUGCAGGGCUAGAGUCCGGAAGAGGCGAGUGGAAUUCCUGGUGUAGCGGUGAAAUGCGCAGAUAUCAGGAGGAACACCUGCGGCGAAGGCGGGUUGCUGGGCUGACACUGACGCUGAGGCGCGAAAGCUAGGGGAGCGAACGGG